Molecule: ribosomal RNA, 481 nt
Filed under: uncultured bacterium
Lineage: Bacteria
Description: bacterial SSU rRNA
Rfam family: Bacterial small subunit ribosomal RNA
Source: RNAcentral
GAUGAACGCUAGCGGCAGGCUUAACACAUGCAAGUCGAGGGGCAGCACGGUAGCAAUACUGGUGGCGACCGGCAAACGGGUGCGGAACACGUACAGAACCUACCUUGAUCUGGGGCAUAGCCCGGAGAAAUCCGGAUUAACUCCCCAUAACAUAGAUGAGUGGCAUCACUUGACUAUUAAAAAUUUAUUGGAUCGAGAUGGCUGUGCGUCCCAUUAGCUAGUUGGUAGGGUGACGGCCUACCAAGGCGACGAUGGGUAGCUGGUGUGAGAGCACGACCAGCCACACGGGCACUGAGACACGGGCCUGACUCCUACGGGAGGCAGCAGUGAGGAAUAUUGGUCAAUGGACGGAAGUCUGAACCAGCCAUCCCGCGUGCAGGAUGAAGGUCCUAUGGAUUGUAAACUGCUUUUAGCAGAGACGAAGACCCAUCAUUGAUGGUGGAGUGACGGUAUCUGCAGAUAAGCACCGGCUAACUCCGUG